This is a long non-coding RNA of Cyprinus carpio (common carp), 448 nucleotides long. RefSeq lists it as uncharacterized. Lineage: Eukaryota; Metazoa; Chordata; Actinopteri; Cypriniformes; Cyprinidae. The transcript is spliced from 3 exons. The record is from RefSeq and is a predicted model, not a curated record.
ACUAUAUUUUAGGAGGAAGGAAAUCAACAUAAUCCUUAAAAGUAUAACUCAAACUCAUAUGACUCAAGCUCCUCCUUAGCGGUUCUUCACACUCCACACACACAAACAUACAUCAGAAGAGUUAUCAGACAUCCUUCAACACAACUCAUUUCACUUCAGAAUGGAAAACAGCAAAGUCCUGGCAUCUGAAAAAGCUACAGUUAUCAUCCAAGUAAAUCCACAGGUGGCACAAGAUACUGUUAUUUGUGAUGAUGGACAGCAGGUCAGAGGAGCAUAUAACAAUACGGCUCUUAAAGGAUUUUUCAAAGCACAACCAAAGGCACUGGGGUCUGUACAGAUAAUGACUGGAGUGAUGGUCUUCUUACUUGGUAUUGUGCUCUCCGCAAGUUUAGUCGGAUUUCAUAGUAUUUUUGUCUUUAGCGGCAUCACCUACUGGGGAUCUUUAAUU